UACGUAGGGUGCAAGCGUUAAUCGGAAUUACUGGGCGUAAAGCGUGCGUAGGUGGUUUGUUAAGUCUGAUGUGAAAUCCCCGGGCUCAACCUGGGAAUGGCAUUGGAUACUGGCAGGCUAGAGUGCGGUAGAGGGUGGUGGAAUUCCCGGUGUAGCAGUGAAAUGCGUAGAGAUCGGGAGGAACAUCUGUGGCGAAGGCGGCCACCUGGACCAGCACUGACACUGAGGCACGAAAGCGUGGGGAGCAAACAGG
This 253-nucleotide ribosomal RNA is filed under the name uncultured bacterium. RNAcentral's name for it is "partial 16S ribosomal RNA". It matches the Rfam family "Bacterial small subunit ribosomal RNA", at positions 524 to 776 of the family's 1533-position model. The record is from RNAcentral.